Molecule: ribosomal RNA, 253 nt
Filed under: uncultured prokaryote
Description: partial 16S ribosomal RNA
Rfam family: Bacterial small subunit ribosomal RNA
Source: RNAcentral
UACAGAGGGGGCAAGCGUUGUUCGGAAUUACUGGGCGUAAAGGGCGCGUAGGCGGCCUUCUAAGUCGAACGUGAAAUCCCCCGGCUUAACCUGGGAACUGCGUCUGAUACUGGGAGGCUUGAGUAUGGGAGAGGGAUGUAGAAUUCCAGGUGUAGCGGUGAAAUGCGUAGAUAUCAGGAGGAACACCGGUGGCGAAGGCGGCCCUCUGGACGGUGACUGACGCUGAGACGCGAAAGCGUGGGGAGCAAACAGG